This 429-nucleotide ribosomal RNA is filed under the name Chloroflexota bacterium. Its description in RNAcentral is "Chloroflexi bacterium partial 16S ribosomal RNA". It matches the Rfam family "Bacterial small subunit ribosomal RNA", at positions 355 to 776 of the family's 1533-position model. Lineage: Bacteria; Bacillati; Chloroflexota. The record is from RNAcentral.
UGGGGAAUAUUGCACAAUGUGCGCAAGCCUGAUGCAGCCAUGCCGCGUGUAUGAAGAAGGCCUUCGGGUUGUAAAGUACUUUCAGCGGGGAGGAAGGGAGUAAAGUUAAUACCUUUGCUCAUUGACGUUACCCGCAGAAGAAGCACCGGCUAACUCCGUGCCAGCAGCUGCGGUAAUACGGAGGGUGCAAGCGUUAAUCGGAAUUACUGGGCGUAAAGCGCACGCAGGCGGUCUGUCAAGUCGGAUGUGAAAUCCCCGGGCUCAACCUGGGAACUGCAUUCGAAACUGGCAGGCUAGAGUCUUGUAGAGGGGGGUAGAAUUCCAGGUGUAGCGGUGAAAUGCGUAGAGAUCUGGAGGAAUACCGGUGGCGAAGGCGGCCCCCAGGACAAAGAAUGAAGCUCAGGUGCGAAAGCGUGGGGAGCAAACAGG